CGAGAGGGCGGGGCGCGGCGGCCUCGGCGGUGACCGCGCGUCAGGCGUCGCCGUACGCCUCCCCGCCCGGUUCGAACCCGGCCGUCCCGGCC
RNAcentral lists this transfer RNA (92 nucleotides) under Streptomyces violaceus subsp. violarus. RNAcentral's name for it is "tRNA-Gly". The record is from RNAcentral. Lineage: Bacteria; Bacillati; Actinomycetota; Actinomycetes; Kitasatosporales; Streptomycetaceae.